This is a long non-coding RNA of Musa acuminata AAA Group (dessert banana), 355 nucleotides long. RefSeq lists it as uncharacterized. The record is from RefSeq and is a predicted model, not a curated record. NCBI's taxonomy places the organism in Eukaryota, Viridiplantae, Streptophyta, Magnoliopsida, Zingiberales, Musaceae. The transcript is spliced from 2 exons.
AGGUGCUACGCCCAUGAACAGUUGCAAAGAGGCGCGACGUGAGUCGUUCGACUGCCGCUAAACCACGUUUGUCUGAUCUCGUCUUUAUCAUCGCUGCUCUUCUCUGCCCUCGGCGAAAGCGCGCGGACUCCACCCCGAAGAGAUUACCGCAAAACAUGGUAGAAGAGCUCUUGCAUUGAGAAGGUAAAGCUCCUCGACUUGCUUGGGGACCGAAUUUUCCUGCCACUGAAUCAAACGCAGACUGACCAGCCAAAUUCUGUAAGUUGUCCACUGGCUUGUGAACCCUCCCUGCAAUUACUCUGAAUAUCAGCAAGGCUUUUCUUAUAGAAGGUUGAUCCUCAAUAACUUGAAUUGA